UACGGGAGGCAGCAGUGGGGAAUUUUGGACAAUGGGCGAAAGCCUGAUCCAGCAAUGCCGCGCGGGCAAGAAGGCCUUAGGGUGUAAAGCAAUUAUGUCCGUAAGAAGUCAAGGUCUUAAUACCUAGGGGAAGACGGUACCCGAAGAAUAAGCACGGUAAUUUUUG
RNAcentral lists this ribosomal RNA (166 nucleotides) under uncultured bacterium. RNAcentral describes it as "partial 16S ribosomal RNA". It matches the Rfam family "Bacterial small subunit ribosomal RNA", at positions 340 to 505 of the family's 1533-position model. The record is from RNAcentral.